RNAcentral lists this long non-coding RNA (1106 nucleotides) under Salmo salar (Atlantic salmon). RNAcentral's name for it is "lncRNA (ENSSSAG00000112258.1, ENSSSAG00020074834.1)". The record is from RNAcentral. Lineage: Eukaryota; Metazoa; Chordata; Actinopteri; Salmoniformes; Salmonidae.
CAUGCACGUGGAUGAGAGUACGUUCUUUGUUGUUUAUCUCCGGUAAAGACAAUAACGAUUCUCCGUCUUAAAUUUGAUCGUUUAUUUACAUAUUAUGGUACCUGAGGUUUGAUUAUAAACGUUGUUUGACUUGUUUGGAGAAGUUUAUUGGUAACGUUUGGGAUUCAUUUUGUAUGCAUUUUGAAGGAGGGAAACAGGUGGAUUAUUAACUGAAGCGCACCAGCUAAACAGAUAUUUUGGGGAUAUAAAGAAGGACAUUAUCGAACAAAAGGACCAUUUGUGAUGUAGGUGGGACCUUUUGGAGUGCCAACAGAAGAAGAUCUUCAAAGAAGCAGGCAAUCUGAGUGGUUCCUCUGACUUCAAAAUGGCCCAAGUCGCUCCCCUUCUCAAGAAACCAACACUCAACCCCUAUGAUGUAAAAGACUACAGAACGAUCUAUCCAAUGCCUUAGACACAGUGAACCGCCAGAUCCUCCUGUCCACCCUUUCAGGGUGUCUCUGCACACUCUUGGAUUGCAUCCUACCUGGCAGGCCGCUCCUACCAGCCAGGUAACGACACGCAUCUCUGCAUGUUUGGCAGAUAUCUGAUAUGGAUGUUGGCCCACCACCUCAAGCUCAAGUUCAACAAGACAGAGCUGCUCUUCCUCCCGGAGAAGACCUGCCUGCUCCAGUGUGCAAAGCUGUCAUCGAGGCAAAGGCAUCUGCUCUCCAACAGCACAGGAGCCUGUGGCACAGUCAGGUCGAACAGGAAGGGGAUGCCGGCAUUCAGAUGCAGGAAGAUGCAGAGAGGGGAGGUGGAGUUCAAGGAGAAUGUUCAGCAACUGGCAGUAAAGUGGCAUGACAAAUGAGACGUCCAUGUCCUCUCCACUGUCCAUACAGCAACCAUGUCGGCCACAGGGAAGGUGAACCACCUGACGGGAGAGAGAAAAAUCAAACCAGUCUGCGUGCUUGACUAUAACCUCAAAAUGGGGGCAGUGGAUAAGGCGGACAUGAUAAACAGCUUUGUGAAAUGCACUAGGAAAACGACCAAGUGAUAUAAGAAGAUAUUUUUCCAUCUGAUCGACACUGCUGCCCUCAAUGGCCACAUAGUUCACCACCAACUAACAG